AAACAUUAGUUAUGAGCAUUUCAGCUCAUUUUACCCUAAAAAGAAGGGUUGGGGCGCUGAAUUAAGAAGAGAGAAGAGAAGAGAGAAAACCUAACUCUCUUUGAUCUUCAAACCACCAUAACUUGAGCUACGGAGCUCCGAUUGACGAGCCGUUUGUGGCCACGCGUCGCUCUUUUCAUCCUCUACAUUUCUAUCUAAGUUUUGUGGGAUACUCCAACAUGGAUUCUAAGUGGGUUCUAUCCCUACUUCAUAUGGGCUGAGUGCAUUUGAUGGUUUUGGUGCACAAUUGGGAGAUUGGUGUUGCUUGAGGAGCUUUGGUGAGGCUUAGGGCUAAGGUUGGUGGAGACUUCCAAAGAAGAGGCUCAAUUGAUUUGGCUACAAGAGGUACGGUUUAAGUUUCAUUUAAGUACCGUGUGGUGUGAUGAGAAU
Arachis duranensis is the source of this 429-nucleotide long non-coding RNA. RefSeq lists it as uncharacterized. The record is from RefSeq and is a predicted model, not a curated record. The transcript is spliced from 3 exons. Lineage: Eukaryota; Viridiplantae; Streptophyta; Magnoliopsida; Fabales; Fabaceae.